This is a non-coding RNA of Camelina sativa (false flax), 1917 nucleotides long. Lineage: Eukaryota; Viridiplantae; Streptophyta; Magnoliopsida; Brassicales; Brassicaceae. The record is from RefSeq and is a predicted model, not a curated record.
AUCGAUAUUAUUUUAAAAUUUUAGUAUCAUUAUUUUUUUAAUGGUUAUGUCAAGUGUUAAUUUUUUGGGUGAUUGAUUUUAUUCCGAUUUCCUUAUUAUCUCUAAACAAUUUUUAAAUAUGGUUAUUUCUUUAUAAUCGAAAUAAUUAAGAUUAAAGAUUUCUAGGAUUUGAAUAUUGUAGUUGUUACAUUAGAUACUAAAUCUUCACCAUUUAGAUUUUUUGGUUACAAUCACUUAUGGAUAUUAUUUAAAUUUUUUCUUCUUUCAAUAUUUUCAAAAUUAAUAUGCCAUGUUCAUGGAAUAUUUUGCUACGAUUUAUUGUGGCAAUUAAUGGUUUAUUUUAUUUAGAUUUUAUUUAAUAUGAUUUUUAGUUAAUAGUAAAUUACAAAAUUAUCCUAAUCUUCUUUCUUGAAAUCCGAUUAGUACAGAUCAUUUCUCCAAAAUCACGCUAGCAAUCAUUUUUUUUCACGAUUUUGAUGUGUUUUGUACAAAAAUAUGUUAGAUCCAUCAAUUAACCAUUGAUUUAGGAGUCAAUAACAAAAACCAUAUUAUUUAUCAAUUUUUUUUUCCCCCAAUAUGGCAUAAUUCCGGUGAAUCACCACCGGUAAGCGCUUUCUCCGACGUCGUUCUUUGACCAACGAAGGAUCGUGAGGGAGAAGAGAACUUGAAUUUUCAAAUUCACAUAUGAGAAUUUUUUUUAAACAUUAUUACACAUGAAAUUCUAAAAUUAUGUUUAUUGGAAAAAAAAUUGAAAAAAAAAACUUACCUGUUAACCCGUUUUAAAACACGCGGAUCCAAUUCUGUUGAUUUGCCCGAUUUCAAAUUUUCGGAUUAUUUUUUUUAAAUAACCCGAUCUAAAAUACUUAAAAGUUUUAUUUAACCUCACUUACAUUGUAUUCUUUUUUGGUCGUUGAGGGUAUUUUCGUCCAAAGGAGAAGUUGUACUUACCUUUUACUAAUAUAGAGAUUUACUGCGCUUUUUAGCCUUAUUAAUUAGGUGCUUUCUUAAAUGAGGAAAAAUAUUAAGUUGAAAUUAUGGGCUUUAUUGGUUUAUUAAUUAGUUUAGGGCCUGAUAAUGCGUUGAUUCGGGAAAUUAAGGUUUUAUAAUAAUAGGUUUUGAUCUCUCUCUUUCCUCUGCCGCACGCGUUACCGUCGACCCAUGAAGAUCAUUGACGAUAAAUCCUGGUCGAUCUUCUACGAUCCAUGUGACGCAUAUUUCAUCAACGACGCUGAACAAUCUCAAUUUCCCUGCUGAUAUUUUCUUCCGGAUCGAGAGAUCCCAAGCUGAACACAAGCUAGCUUGCCUCGACUCAGACAUCUGCACUUGUGGUGUUGUGUUCAGUGAGAGCUCUAUUUUGUGGCACACCCCCUGUAACACUUUGGAUACAAGUGCGGCCCUCCUGAUCGUCCUCUCCCUCCUGGAAUACUAGUAGCGAGAGAUCACAACCAAACCAAGUGGAUAUUACCCCUUGAUUUAACUGCCAAGGUGAUGUCUAUGUUAACCUUUACCCUAGAAAUUGCAAAGGCCGAGUGCAUCUCCACAGCCUUCUCUGCUGCAGGAGCCAUCUCCACUCCAUCUGCGCUUGUGCUACACUGGAGACAUGGAAGAUUUUCAUAAGCAAGUGCGCAAAUAUACAGAGUCUUAGUCUAAUUGGUGUUCCAAUUCGGGAUGAUGCUCUUUGAGAAAGGGGAUCCAAGAAGAAUGGCCGUUUCUGGAGUAAAUUUAUCAAUUAACUAGGAUCGGACUCGCGCUACAGCGCGAAGGAAUAUUUACAGAGAUACAUUUACAUAUGAUUCGUAACAUACCGAAAAAAUAGUAUAUAAAAAUUGAGUAUAUAUUCGUAAAAAAAGAUUUUUUUUUUUUUAAGUUGUAAAGAUUGCAUUCAUAAAAAUUACACACUCACAAUGUAUGUUACUA